This 253-nucleotide ribosomal RNA is filed under the name uncultured bacterium. RNAcentral describes it as "partial 16S ribosomal RNA". It matches the Rfam family "Bacterial small subunit ribosomal RNA", at positions 524 to 776 of the family's 1533-position model. The record is from RNAcentral.
UACAGAGGUGGCAAGCGUUGUUCGGAAUUACUGGGCGUAAAGGGCGCGUAGGCGGCCUUCUAAGUCAGACGUGAAAUCCCCCGGCUUAACCUGGGAACUGCGUCUGAUACUGGGAGGCUUGAGUAUGGGAGAGGGAUGUAGAAUUCCAGGUGUAGCGGUGAAAUGCGUAGAUAUCUGGAGGAAUACCGGUGGCGAAGGCGGCAUCAUGGACCAUAACUGACGCUGAGGCGCGAAAGCUAGGGGAGCAAACGGG